RNAcentral lists this ribosomal RNA (410 nucleotides) under uncultured bacterium. RNAcentral describes it as "bacterial SSU rRNA". It matches the Rfam family "Bacterial small subunit ribosomal RNA", at positions 355 to 775 of the family's 1533-position model. The record is from RNAcentral.
UCGAGGAUCUUCGGCAAUGGGCGCAAGCCUGACCGAGCGACGCCGCGUGAGCGAUGAAGGCCUUCGGGUUGUAAAGCUCUGUCGAGGGGGAGGAAGCCGAAAGGUUGACCUAUCCCUGGAGGAAGCACGGGCUAAGUUCGUGCCAGCAGCCGCGGUAAGACGAACCGUGCAAACGUUGUUCGGAAUCACUGGGCUUAAAGGGCGCGUAGGCGGGCUGUCAAGUCAGGAGUGAAAUCUUUCGGCUCAACCGGAAAACUGCUUUUGAUACUGACAGCCUCGAGGGAGGUAGGGGCAUGUGGAACUUCCGGUGGAGCGGUGAAAUGCGUUGAUAUCGGAAGGAACGCCGGUGGCGAAAGCGACGUGCUGGAUCUCUUCUGACGCUGAGGCGCGAAAGCUAGGGUAGCGAACGG